Molecule: unclassified non-coding RNA, 409 nt
Filed under: uncultured Glomeromycotina
Lineage: Eukaryota; Fungi; Glomeromycota
Description: sequence contains 28S rRNA gene
Source: RNAcentral
AGAGUUAAAUAGUACGUGAAAUUGUUGAAAGGGAAACGAUUGAAGUCAGUCGUGCCGGUGAGAAAUCAGCCCAAUGAGUUUUGGGUUCGGGAGUUGAGGUAGGGUCAAACCACCUCUCUUUUGAACUUGGGAUUUGUUUGGUGUACUUUCUUUUUGGCAGGUCAACGUCGAUUUUGGGGGUUGUAAAAUAACUGGGGGAAUGUGACUCCUUUCGGGGAGUGUUAUAGACCUUGGAAGAUGCAGCCCGUGGGAUCGAGGAUUGCAGCAAAUGCUUUUUUUGCUUGUCGCCUAUCCUUUGAUUGGCGCUCCGCUUGUGACAAUAUUUCUUGACACUUUGUGGGGUUUUGACGGUUACCGGUUAGAGCGAUCUAAAAUUUGCUAAGGAUGUUGACGUAAUGGCUUUAAACGA